Molecule: ribosomal RNA, 333 nt
Filed under: uncultured Anaerolineaceae bacterium
Lineage: Bacteria; Bacillati; Chloroflexota; Anaerolineae; Anaerolineales; Anaerolineaceae
Description: bacterial SSU rRNA
Rfam family: Bacterial small subunit ribosomal RNA
Source: RNAcentral
CAGGUGCUGCAUGGCUGUCGUCAGCUCCGUGUCGUGAGAUGUCGUUAAGUCCGCUAACGAGCGCAACCCUCGCUGUGUGUUACAAGUGUCACACGGAACUGCCGGUCAUAAACCGGAGGAAGGUGGGAUGACGUCAAGUCAGCAUGGCCUUUAUAUCCUGGGCUACACACACGCUACAAUGGGAAGGGACAAUAGGUCGCGAAGCCGCGAGGCGGAGCCAAUCCAGCAAAACUUCCCUCAGUUCAGAUUGCAGGCUGCAACCCGCCUGCAUGAAGUUGGAGUUGCUAGUAAACGCAGGUCAGCCAUACUGCGUUGAAUACGUUCCCGGGGCUU